This 253-nucleotide ribosomal RNA is filed under the name uncultured bacterium. RNAcentral's name for it is "partial 16S ribosomal RNA". It matches the Rfam family "Bacterial small subunit ribosomal RNA", at positions 524 to 776 of the family's 1533-position model. The record is from RNAcentral.
UACGGGGGGGGCAAGCGUUGUUCGGAAUUACUGGGCGUAAAGGGCUCGUAGGUGGCCAACUAAGUCAGACGUGAAAUCCCUCGGCUUAACCGGGGAACUGCGUCUGAUACUGGAUGGCUAGAGUUUGGGAGAGGGAUGCGGAAUUCCAGGUGUAGCGGUGAAAUGCGUAGAUAUCUGGAGGAACACCGGUGGCGAAGGCGGCAUCCUGGACCGGUAUUGACGCUGAGGCGCGAAAGCUAGGGGAGCAGACGGG